GGGCCCGCACAAGCGGUGGAGCAUGUGGUUUAAUUCGAUGAUACGCGAGGAACCUUACCAGGGCUUAAAUGUAAGUUGCAUAGAUCAGAGAUGGUCUUUUCUUCGGACUACUUACAAGGUGCUGCAUGGUUGUCGUCAGCUCGUGCCGUGAGGUGUCAGGUUAAGUCCUAUAACGAGCGCAACCCCCUAUCGUUAGUUGCCAUCAAGUAAAGUUGGGAACUCUAGCGAAACUGCCGGUGCAAACCGAGAGGAAGGUGGGGAUGACGUCAAAUCAUCACGGCCCUUACGUUCUGGGCUACACACGUGCUACAAUGGUCGGUACAGAAAGCAGCCACUAUGCGAAUAGGAGCUAAUCUUUAAACCGAUCUC
Molecule: ribosomal RNA, 369 nt
Filed under: uncultured bacterium
Lineage: Bacteria
Description: bacterial SSU rRNA
Rfam family: Bacterial small subunit ribosomal RNA
Source: RNAcentral